Molecule: ribosomal RNA, 253 nt
Filed under: uncultured bacterium
Lineage: Bacteria
Description: partial 16S ribosomal RNA
Rfam family: Bacterial small subunit ribosomal RNA
Source: RNAcentral
UACGGAGGGGGUUAGCGUUGUUCGGAAUGACUGGGCGGAAAGCGCGCGUAGGCGGAUCAUCAAGUCGGGGGUGAAAUCCCGGGGCUCAACCCCGGAAUGGCCUUCGAGACUGGUGGUCUUGAGUUCGAGAGAGGUGAGUGGAAUUCCGAGUGUAGAGGUGAAAUUCGUAGAUAUUCGGAGGAACACCAGUGGCGAAGGCGGCUCACUGGCUCGACACUGACGCUGAGGUGCGAAAGCGUGGGGAGCAAACAGG